This 1399-nucleotide long non-coding RNA is filed under the name Anser cygnoides (Swan goose). RNAcentral describes it as "lncRNA (ENSACDG00005011369.1)". The record is from RNAcentral. Lineage: Eukaryota; Metazoa; Chordata; Aves; Anseriformes; Anatidae.
AUGGGGGUGGGUGAGCUGCCCCCCAGGUGCUGGGGCCUGGUGGGGCUCCUCCUCCUGCAGGAAGGGGUUUGGCCAGGUCCAGAGCUCUGCAUGAGGAGCUGGGGCCACAGAGGAGGAGGAUUAUGUUCGUUCUUGCUAUCCCAGGCUGUGCUGAGGAGCUAUAUCGGCUGGGCCAGGCUGCCGUGCUGGCACGCCGAUGCUCCUGGCUGUGCUGGAGUGCUGCAUCUCCACGAGGAGAAGACAUCUCCAAGGAGCUGGGAGGCUGUGACCAUGAGAUGCUGGUGCAGAGCCCUGCACCUCCUCAAGGUGUGCAGCUUGACCCGAGCCACGGAGAGGAUGGGGAACAAGGCCAGGGACACCGCACCGAGCUCCCCGCUCCCUUUGGGAUUGGGGUCAGAAGGGACUGCAGGGGAGGGACUGGCACCUCUUGUUUGUCGCCUUCCUCCAGCAGAGCUGCUGGCCCAGGUCCGCCUCGGCAGAUCUCUCUGGGCGGCAGCGAUAGGGAGGGAAGAGAGAAACGCAGCUGGAUUUUCCCAGAGUUUGCAGCCAAAUCUUCUGAAUUGCAAAGUGAACAGCUCAGAUUUUGGAAGGCUCUGAGGAGGAGUAAAUGUGAAAAGCCAAGAUUUUUUUUUUUUGCUUUGUCAUUUUUCUGCCUAUAAUGUUGUUUUAUGGGGCCGUGAGUCACCUCACGCAACGAAAUGAGCCAUCCUUACCACUGAUGAAAAUAAGGAAUAUUGAACAUGAUACUUAUCUGGGUUUCAUCAGGCGGGAUUCUUGGGGUUCGGUGCUUCUAGUAUUCUGUGUGCUGGACAAAUGCUGGAGAAAAAUUAAGAUUUUGGUCUUGGGGGCCUUAUGUGUGUGGGCUGGUUGGCGUCAUGCUGGUGGCGUUGGGUGGUGGAGGGAUGGGAUGGGUGGGGGGUGGUGGAGGAAUGGGAUGGUUGGGUUGGGGAUGGUGGAGGGAUGGAUGGGAUGGGGGCGAUGGUUGGGUUGGGCGUUGUGGAUGGAUGGGUGGGAUGGGGGUGAUGGAUGGGUUGGGCUGGGGGUUCUGGAUGGAUGGAUGGGUUGGGUUGGGAAUGGUGAAUGGAUGGGAUGGUUUGGGUUGUCUGGACCCGGCCGGGAUGGUUUGGGUAGCAGGAGGGUUAUUUUGUGAAACAGGCUGCGGAUAUCGGAGGGGAACAGGGCAAGGGGCUCCCGAGGGGACCCAUGUGAGCAUCACCACACGGGUGACCCACACGCAGCCUUCCUCACGCGAGGAAGAGGAGGAGGCGGCUGAGCCUUGGCGCGCCUCCUGCUCCCAUCCUUGCUCUACACCCCCCCGGGGGGCUGCGCGCCGAGGACCCCCCCCCAUGCCCCUACCCCCGGGGGCGGGUCGGGGCCGCGGGACGGGUGCGGGUGCGGG